CUGGGUUUGACAUCNCCAGGACGCCAGUAGAGAUAUUGGUUCCCUUGUGGCCUGUGUGCAGGUGGUGCAUGGCUGUCGUCAGCUCGUGUCGUGAGAUGUUGGGUUAAGUCCCGCAACGAGCGCAACCCUUGUCUCAUGUUGCCAGCGCGUUAUGGCGGGGACUCGUGAGAGACUGCCGGGGUCAACUCGGAGGAAGGUGGGGAUGACGUCAAGUCAUCAUGCCCCUUAUGUCCAGGGCUUCACACAUGCUACAAUGGCCGGUACAAAGGGCUGCGAUGCCGUGAGGUUAAGCGAAUCCUUUAAAGCCGGUCUCAGUUCGGAUCGGGGUCUGCAACUCGACCCCGUGAAGUCGGAGUCGCUAGUAAUCGCAGAUCAGCAACGCUGCGGUGAAUA
This 393-nucleotide ribosomal RNA is filed under the name uncultured Mycobacterium sp. RNAcentral's name for it is "bacterial SSU rRNA". It matches the Rfam family "Bacterial small subunit ribosomal RNA", at positions 975 to 1368 of the family's 1533-position model. The record is from RNAcentral. Lineage: Bacteria; Bacillati; Actinomycetota; Actinomycetes; Mycobacteriales; Mycobacteriaceae.